GCGGCCGCCGUGAAGAAGCGGCCCUUCUUCUGGCCUUCCUCCGAGGACAAGCUUGGUACUGCAGUUCUUCAGUUCCAAAAUUCGAAGCUGUCUCAAAAGUUAGAGGCUCAACGAGUUGAAUGCUCUGUUCUUGACGAUAGACUUUCUCAGACCAAGGAAAAACAGUGGCCAUACAAGUCCACAUUGAAAACGGUCCGAAAGUCUUGGGGAGGGGUAAUGCUUGUUAUGUUUUUAAUCUGAUGUGUUUUCCUUUAACGCUUGUGUCAAAUCCCCCAACCAUCACAAAGUUCAGUCGAUAAGUAGAGGUUCUCUUUCGCCUUACUGGGCGUAUGAAAUUCUAACUGAUGUCUUCCUAAUGGCUUAUAACUGCCAUGGAAUCAUGCUCUUUUCGCGUGACAAUGACAUGCACUGUUGGUGACUGACAAAGAUCAGAAGGAAACUCUGGUUCGAGGGUAGCCAAGUGACAUGCACUCUAUCAUAGACUGAAGAGUUUGUGUAGUCCUGGUAUCUGUGCGUCAGAAUAUUGAUUUCCUUCUGUGUGCCCAAAAGAGGUUGUAAUCACAAAGUGCUACCAUUUGUUCUGCAAUCAAUGCGUGCAAAAGAUCACAGCUAGUCGGCAAAAGGAGUGCCCAACAUGCUCAGCAAGUUUUGGACACAAUGAUGUUAAACCAAUCUACAUAUGAUGCAGAAUAGGUGCAGUGUUCUGCUUAACCGCAUGUCCUUCAUGCCUGUGCUGCGUCUGCAUCGGGUAGUGGCCAAUGCUUUGAACUAUGAAGCCACGUUGUUGUGUAGUUUCAUGCCCGAUGACUUGCUGGAAACUCUCAGCCCCUUCAGGCCAUUUUAAAACGUGGUAACAACAGUUAAGGCCGGUCUGGAUCCGGCCAGUAAACUCCACAUCCACAUUACGAAACACACAGAGGAAUUGCUGAAACGGUUUUACUCUUGUGGAGGUGUAUAUCAUUUGGUAUUCCAUCUUUGAAUAACUUGGAACCACAGGGAAUUCCUUGCAGAUCAAUGGAGGUGUUUUAGAAUCUUAGAUCUCAUGUAAUUAGUAGAAACUCUUCUGUGGUUCAUGCAGAAACGGAAGAAGAGUACGGGGUAAUACGCUUUCGGUGUGAAGGGUAUGGCUCUUUGGCGUCAGAGAUAAAGGUCAGAUUAUUUAGUUUACACGUUUUUCUUGAGAUCUUUUGAUGGGUAUUAGUUGCAAUACUUAGGGCUGCGUUCUUUAUGGCUGGAUUUGGUUCUGUUUUCCGCUAUGGAUGGGUUUCUGGAUUUCAAGCCUCCGCACAUGUUCUUCGUUUAGUGGUGUUGCUUUUUGAUUUUUCGUCUUUCUCCUCGCUUCCUUUUCUUUUUGUUCGCCAUCUUUAUUCCCAGGGAUAAAAGAUCACGUGUUGUUUUAGCCGAGUCAUCUCACUCGUCCUUGUUAUAUCUGAUAAGUUAUGUUUCUAACAUAAAUCACUUUUCCCCUUGUUUUUUUGCGUAGAAAGCCCAUAAAAUAUGACUACGAAAUGCGUAGAGAGAAAGACCCAUGACUCGCGUCUCUUUAAGCUCAUUCGUGCAUUUUUAAUUUUUAUUUUAAUAAUUUUUGCAUUUUAGUAUCUCGACUUCAUUUGGAUUAUGUUUAUUAUCUUAAUUUUUUGUUGACAAAUUUCUAAUAAAAAUUGCCAAUGCAACAGAUCGGAAUUGACAUA
Molecule: long non-coding RNA, 1691 nt
Organism: Tarenaya hassleriana
Lineage: Eukaryota; Viridiplantae; Streptophyta; Magnoliopsida; Brassicales; Cleomaceae
Exons: 3
Source: RefSeq, a predicted model, not a curated record